Molecule: ribosomal RNA, 468 nt
Filed under: uncultured bacterium
Lineage: Bacteria
Description: partial 16S ribosomal RNA
Rfam family: Bacterial small subunit ribosomal RNA
Source: RNAcentral
GACGAACGCUGGCGGCGUGCUUAACACAUGCAAGUCGAACGGAAAGGCCCUGCUUUUGUGGGGUUCUCGAUUGGCGAACGGGUGAGUAACACGUGAGUAACCUGCCCUUGACUUUGGGAUAACUUCAGGAAACUGGGGCUAAUACCGGAUAGGAGCUCCUGCUGCAUGGUGGGGGUUGGAAAGUUUCGGCGGUUGGGGAUGGACUCGCGGCUUAUCGGCUUGUUGGUGGGGUAGUGGCUUACCAAGGCUUUGACGGGUAGCCGGCCUGAGAGGGUGACCGGCCACAUUGGGACUGAGAUACGGCCCAGACUCCUACGGGAGGCAGAAGUGGGGAAUAUUGCACAAUGGGCGGAAGCCUGAUGCAGCAGCGCCGCGUGCGGGAUGACGGCCUUCGGGUUGUAAACCGCUUUCGCCUGUGACGAAGCGUGAGUGACGGUAAUGGGUAAAGAAGCACCGGCUAACUACGUG